Molecule: ribosomal RNA, 301 nt
Filed under: uncultured bacterium
Lineage: Bacteria
Description: partial 16S ribosomal RNA
Rfam family: Bacterial small subunit ribosomal RNA
Source: RNAcentral
CAGUCGCCGCGGUAAUACGUAGGGUGCGAGCGUUAAACGGAAUUACUGGGCGUAAAGCGUGCGCAGGCGGUUCGUUAAGUCAGGCGUGAAAUUCCUGGGCUCAACCUGGGGGCUGCGCUUGAUACUUGGUUGCUUGAGUGGGGAAGAGGGUCGUGGAAUUCCCAGUGUAGAGGUGAAAUUCGUAGAUAUUGGGAAGAACACCGGUGGCGAAGGCGGCGACCUGGUCCUUGACUGACGCUGAGGCGCGAAAGCGUGGGGAGCAAACAGGAUUAGAUACCCCUGUAGUCCCUGUCUCUUAUAC